UGCCAGCCGCCGCGGUAAUACGUAGGUGGCAAACGUUGUCCGGAAUUACUGGGCGUAAAGGGCCCGUAGGUGGUCUGCUAAGUUGUUUGUGAAAUCUCCCGGCUCAACCGGGAGAGGUCGAGCAAUACUGGCAGACUUGAGGGUAUCAGAGGAAGACGGAAUUCCCGGUGUAGUGGUGAAAUGCGUAGAUAUCGGGAGGAACACCAGUGGCGAAAGCGGUCUUCUGGGAUACAUCUGACACUGAGGGGCGAAAGCGUGGGGAGCAAACAGGAUUAGAUA
RNAcentral lists this ribosomal RNA (279 nucleotides) under uncultured bacterium. RNAcentral describes it as "partial 16S ribosomal RNA". It matches the Rfam family "Bacterial small subunit ribosomal RNA", at positions 506 to 784 of the family's 1533-position model. The record is from RNAcentral.